This 26-nucleotide small RNA is filed under the name Bombyx mori (domestic silkworm). Its description in RNAcentral is "ovarian small RNA-17466". The record is from RNAcentral. Lineage: Eukaryota; Metazoa; Arthropoda; Insecta; Lepidoptera; Bombycidae.
GGCUGAGGAAAGGUGUCCGGUCAACC